Paramuricea clavata is the source of this 359-nucleotide non-coding RNA. NCBI's taxonomy places the organism in Eukaryota, Metazoa, Cnidaria, Anthozoa, Malacalcyonacea, Plexauridae. The record is from the annotation of a GenBank genome assembly.
UAGAGACCUUAAGAUUGACGUUUACGGCAAACGUCAAACCGCUAGCGAAGUUUUUGAUUUUACAGCUCUAUUAUAAUAGCUUUUACACCAGUUUUGAACUGCUACGAGGGCUUGUAGUCGUUAAAGCAUGAAAUUUAUACGUCAAACGUCAACUUCAAACGCUAAAUCUUAAUUUACAGCUUUGGUGAAUGGCAUGACUAGUGGUUAAUUUUCUUUCUUAAAUCAUUGCUAAAGAGCAGAAGUUUAAUCAGUUUAACAUAUUUCAAAACUGGUGUAAAAGCUACAAUAAUAGAGCUGUAAAAUCAAAAACUUCGCUAGCGGUUUGACCUUUGCCGUAAACGUCAAUCUUAAGGUCUCUA